Manihot esculenta (cassava) is the source of this 569-nucleotide long non-coding RNA. RefSeq lists it as uncharacterized. Lineage: Eukaryota; Viridiplantae; Streptophyta; Magnoliopsida; Malpighiales; Euphorbiaceae. The transcript is spliced from 2 exons. The record is from RefSeq and is a predicted model, not a curated record.
UUUGGAAAGGCCAAAGCCCAGGGCCUCUCCCUCUCAUUCAUUCACGAUGAGCGUAAGCCCAAAUUUUGGAAUAAAUCAAUCACGGCUGCUAUUGCCUACUGCCUAUUGCUAAGCAAGGAUCAAUCCCCCAAAUUGGUCUCCUGAGUAUUGUCGAGAAAGCUAAAGUGGGAAAAUGGCAUUCAUGAGGGGAGAGCCUUUGGUGGCCAAGCUGGCUGCGGUCGCCAAGUAUGGGGUUUUGCCUGGAGCUAUGGUGGCGGCUUUAAUAUAUUCUCCACCUCGAUAUGGAUCCUCCUCCAAGGAUGACAAGUCCCCCAAAUAAGACCCUAGUCGUCCCUCUUUCUCUCUUUUGGGCGGCUUUGAUGGUGGAACUGCAUGCAAUUGUUGAUUUGUGCUUUUUUUUUUAUGUGCUUGGACAUGUAAUAAUCCUCAACUCUGGAUCUAGCAGCUGGAUCCCAUGAGUAGGUAGUUUGUGAAUGAAAAUGUUUUAUUAUUUUGACAUGCACAACCUUUUUGAGUUGUAAAUCUUUCUUCUUGGGCUUGCUCAUUAUGAACAUCAUCUGGUUAAUCAA